This 412-nucleotide ribosomal RNA is filed under the name uncultured bacterium. RNAcentral describes it as "bacterial SSU rRNA". It matches the Rfam family "Bacterial small subunit ribosomal RNA", at positions 505 to 916 of the family's 1533-position model. The record is from RNAcentral.
GUGCCAGCAGCCGCGGUAAUACGGAGGGUGCGAGCGUUGUCCGGAUUCAUUGGGCCUAAAGGGUACGUAGGCGGCCCGUUAAGUCGGCGGUGAAAUCCCACGGCCCAACCGUGGAAGUGCCGUAGAUACUGGCGGGCUUGAGUGCCGCGGGGGCGGGCGGAAUUCCUCAUGUAGCGGUGAAAUGCAUAGAUAUGAGGAGGAACACCGGUGGCGAAGGCGGCCCGCUGUACGGCAACUGACGCUGAGGUACGAAAGCGCGGGGAGCAAACAGGAUUAGAUACCCUGGUAGUCCACGCCCUAAACGAUGGGUGCCAGAUGUCGGGGGUCUUGGACUUUCGGUGUCGAAGUUAACGCGUUAAGCACCCCGCCUGGGGAGUACGGCCGCAAGGUUAAAACUCAAAUGAAUUGACGG